This 466-nucleotide ribosomal RNA is filed under the name uncultured bacterium. RNAcentral's name for it is "partial 16S ribosomal RNA". It matches the Rfam family "Bacterial small subunit ribosomal RNA", at positions 28 to 506 of the family's 1533-position model. The record is from RNAcentral.
GAUGAACGCUGGCGGCGCGCCUAACACAUGCGAGUCGAACGAUUAAAGCACCUUCGGGUGUGUAUAAAGUGGCGAACGGCUGAGUAACACGUGGGCAACCUGCCCCUCUCAUUGGGAUAGCCACGGGAAACCGUGGAUAAUACCGAAUACUUCGGGACUUCCGCAUGGAAGACUCGAGAAAGCUCCGGCGGAGAGGGAUGGGCCCGCGGCCUGUUAGCUUGUUGGUGGGGUAAUGGCCUACCAAGGCAAUGAUGGGUAGCUGGGUUGAGAGACCGACCAGCCAGAUUGGGACUGAGACACGGCCCAGACUCCUACGGGAGGCAGCAGUGGGGAAUCUUGCACAAUGGGCGAAAGCCUGAUGCAGCGACGCCGCGUGCGGGAUGAAGGCCUUCGGGUUGUAAACCGCUUUCAGCAGGGACGAGGCGAAAGUGACGGUACCUGCAGAAGAAGCCCCGGCUAACUACGU